Molecule: ribosomal RNA, 386 nt
Filed under: marine Metazoa environmental sample
Lineage: Eukaryota; Metazoa
Description: SSU rRNA
Rfam family: Eukaryotic small subunit ribosomal RNA
Source: RNAcentral
AGCUCCAAUAGCGUAUAUUAAAGUUGCUGCAGUUAAAAAGCUCGUAGUUGGAUCUCGGGGUACCUGGUCUAGCCGGUAUAGCUCACGCUAAAACUGGUCUGACCCCCCAACGUGAGGUAUUCGUCUCCGGGUGCACUUCAUUGGGUGCUCGUGAGGGGCCUCGUAGUUACUGUGAAAAAAUUAGAGUGUUCAAAGCAGGCUCAUAUGUUCGGAUAGUCGUGCAUGGAAUAACGAAAUACAUGACUAGCGCAUUUCGGUUGGUUUCGGCGACUGAUAAAAUGAUUAAGAGGGACAGCCGGGGGCAUUGGUAUGGCGACGUUAGAGGUGAAAUUCUUGGAUCCUCGGCAGACCAACAAAAGCGAAAGCAUUUGCCAAGAAUGUCUUCA